This is a long non-coding RNA of Mus musculus (house mouse), 1423 nucleotides long. RefSeq annotates it as predicted gene 4657. NCBI's taxonomy places the organism in Eukaryota, Metazoa, Chordata, Mammalia, Rodentia, Muridae. The record is from RefSeq and is a predicted model, not a curated record. The transcript is spliced from 3 exons.
AGAAGGCACUGGGCAUGGAGAAGGUGCUGGAUGUGGCGAAGGGACCGUUCUGCCCUUUCUUUUCUCUCUCUUCUCUCAACAUAUCACACUGGCUGUGUUUUGGGUUGAAAGAUAGAAACUGAAGACUGUGUGCAUGUUUUCCUUCUGAUGCCAUUCAUGGUGCUGAUGACAGGGUAGCAAGAAAGUAGAGUCUACCCACAAGGAACUUGCGCUCCAGUGUGGAAAUAUGGAUUCGCCUCAGUGGAUGAGUGAACACAGUUCAGGUGAUCCUCUUACCCCAGCUUCUUUAGAUAAGGAUUAUCGGCAUGAAUCACCAUACCUGGUAGAGAUUGAGACUUUAAAUGAUUUCAAACUGAUUUGUCAGAAGACAGAUUGUGAAAUUCUGGCAGAAAAUUGGCUGCACAGCAAGCUGGUAGGCAGCAUUCUUUCAUGGUCUCUGCUUCAGAUCUUGCCUUUGGGUCCCUGCCUUGAUUUCCUGUGAUGAUGGACUUACAAAGCAUAAUGUGAAGUGCUGUCCCUACCCUGCCCUUCCUUAGAGUUGGCUGAUUGCUCUGGCCUAUGGUGGAACCAGGUUUACCAGGAAGACCAUGGCUGAGUGGACUCCCUUGUGCGCAGUGGGGGCCUGAGCUAUUGACUAGGUAAUAAGUACAAUGGACCCACCAAGCCAUAGCUGAAGCACUCAACUCCUGUGCUCAAAGGAGGCCUCCCAAAGCUCAGAGCGUGCUCCAGGCUUCCCUCAAGAGAAACCCAAGGAGAAAAGUUCACAGAACAUGGGAGAAGACCAUCAGAAGAAAGGAUUAGGAUGUCCCAGAGAGAGAACAUUUACACCAAGAAGAUCAGCUGAAAACAUGCUUCAGCAGAGGUGUACUGAAAAUUCUCAGAAUAAAAGAAAGAGACAGAAUCCAUUUGAAAGUAGAUGGUGCGAUAUGAAAGGCCAACCGGAAAACAAUUACUUCUGGUAGAAAAAGAAUCAUUGCAUCAGAUGUGGGGGAGUAGUUACAGGCACACUGUACAACAGAAAAGACUAGAAAAUGGAAAAAAAAACAUUUGUGAUGGUUAAUCUCAGGUGUCUUGAUCGCAUCUAGAAUAAACUAAAAUCUAAGCUGCGGGGCAGACCUGAGAGGGGUUUUCUUAUUCAGAGAAUUUGUAGCAAGACCAAUGCUAAGUCUGGACCACACCUUCUGGUGGCAGUCAAGAUGAAAGGACACGGAAGAAGGAAAUAUCUUUGUCCCUGCUGACCCUCACUCUUACUGGAAAGUUCAACUAGCCCCGUGUUGCAGAAUUUAUUCAUGGGUAUUAGAACCGACUUCUUUGGGAUGCUAAUGUACCCUGAAGAACAGCAGCUCUCCAAGAACCCUCAGAACUCAGCACUAGACUGGGAUUGAACACCUCUCAGAUUCUUUUUAAAAAAAUAUUUAUUUAA